CCUACGGGAGGCAGCAGUGGGGAAUAUUGGACAAUGGGGGGAACCCUGAUCCAGCCAUGCCGCGUGUGUGAAGAAGGCCCUCGGGUUGUAAAGCACUUUCAGUGAGGAAGAACGCCUGGUGGUUAAUACCCAUCAGGAAAGACAUCACUCACAGAAGAAGCACCGGCUAACUCCGUGCCAGCAGCCGCGGUAAUACGGAGGGUGCGAGCGUUAAUCGGAAUUACUGGGCGUAAAGCGCGCGUAGGUGGCUUGAUAAGCCGGUUGUGAAAGCCCGGGGCUCAACCUGGGAACGGCAUCCGGAACUGUCAAGCUAGAGUGCAGGAGAGGAAGGUAGAAUUCCCGGUGUAGCGGUGAAAUGCGUAGAGAUCGGGAGGAAUACCAGUGGCGAAGGCGGCCUUCUGGACUGACACUGACACUGAGGUGCGAAAGCGUGGGUAGCAAACAGGAUUAGAUACCCCUGUAGUC
Molecule: ribosomal RNA, 465 nt
Filed under: Vreelandella stevensii
Lineage: Bacteria; Pseudomonadati; Pseudomonadota; Gammaproteobacteria; Oceanospirillales; Halomonadaceae
Description: partial 16S ribosomal RNA
Rfam family: Bacterial small subunit ribosomal RNA
Source: RNAcentral